AGAUUUGUACAGUGGCAGUAUCGUAGCCAAUGAGGUUUAUCCGAGGCGCGAUUAUUGCCAAUUGAAAACUUUUCCCUCUGUUUGGAAUGACCCUCCACCUCUCCACUUAGUUAAUCCUUUGUAUUCUUUUGAUUUCUUUAAAACCCUUCCUCAGGG
This 156-nucleotide small nuclear RNA is filed under the name Tupaia belangeri chinensis (Chinese tree shrew). RNAcentral's name for it is "Tupaia chinensis (Chinese tree shrew) U4 spliceosomal RNA". It matches the Rfam family "U4 spliceosomal RNA". Rfam says of the family: U4 small nuclear RNA (U4 snRNA) is a component of the major U2-dependent spliceosome. Lineage: Eukaryota; Metazoa; Chordata; Mammalia; Scandentia; Tupaiidae. The record is from Rfam by way of RNAcentral.